This 266-nucleotide ribosomal RNA is filed under the name uncultured archaeon. RNAcentral's name for it is "partial 16S ribosomal RNA". It matches the Rfam family "Archaeal small subunit ribosomal RNA", at positions 718 to 982 of the family's 1478-position model. The record is from RNAcentral.
AGUCACUGACAUUACGAACCCCCGUAGUCCCAGCCGUAAACUAUGCGCGUUAGGUGUAGUCGGGACCACGAGUUACCGAGGUGCCGAAGGGAAACCGUGAAACGUGCCGCCGUGGGAAGUACGGUCGCAAGGCUAGAAACUUAAAGGAAUUGGCGGGGAGCACCACAACGGGUGGAGCCUGCGGUUUAAUUGGACUCAACGCCGGGAAGCUCACCGGAUAAGACAGCGGAAUGAUUGCCGGGCUGAAGACUCUGCAUGACUAGCUG